UUUAUCAAAAACAUCUUUUCUUGUUAGUUUUUGAAGUAUGGCCUGCCCACUGAGUAUUUUGAAGGGCCGCGGUAUUUUGACCGUGCAAAGGUAGCAUAAUCAUUAGUUCUUUAAUUGUGAUCUGGAAUGAAUGGCUUGACGAGAUGCAAGCUGUCUUAGGUUUGGAGAAAUUUUAGUUGAAUUUGGUUUCUGGGUUAAAAUACUCAGAUUUUUUUAUGGGACGAGAAGACCCUAUAGAGUUUUACACUUUUAUUUAUUGUUAUUGUUUAGUUUGGUUUUGUUUUUAAAUAAGUUUAUGUGUUUUGUUGGGGUGAUGGGAAGAAUUUGUUUAACUCUUCUUUAUUUUAUAUACAUUUAUAUGUGUUAUUAUGAUCCAUUUAUUUUGAUUAAAAGAUUAAAUUAC
This 403-nucleotide ribosomal RNA is filed under the name Schedorhinotermes sp. ENT-MG352. RNAcentral's name for it is "partial small subunit ribosomal RNA". The record is from RNAcentral. Lineage: Eukaryota; Metazoa; Arthropoda; Insecta; Blattodea; Rhinotermitidae.